CUAAUUCGAUGUCAUUUCACAUUCGGCAUCUAUGCUAUAAUACAUCUCGCAACACUGCUCAGACUUUGUUUUGGUCGGCGGUUGUUGGCCGCCAUUAGUGCGCGAUCGCGUUUUAUUUUGUGGAUUUCCGGAGUUUCCGACGCAAAAAACUCCUGAAAAUAGUGAAUUUAGAAACAUCGGCCAGGAAGGCAAUCAACGAAGCAGGAAAUUAAGACGUCUCUGGAGAAAAUGUGCUCCCUUGUGAUCCUUCCGGCAUAACCGUCUCAACCGGUAAACCAGUCGGGAGAAUUCAACCUUUGUCGACGUUUGUUGUCCAGCAAAAGCCAUGAAACCGGCCAUACCAAAGGAAGUCUGGUGGCUCAUUUCAAUAAUCUGCCCAUGGAUAGACUUGGGAAUAAGUGGAGACGCUCGUAAACGGGAUCCGGCGUCCCGUUUAUCUGCCAUUCCAAUCGAUCUUCAGCAACUGGCGCGCUGCAAUGAUGUGAGCUUCUAAUGAUGAACCUAAAUGGAGCUUCGGAACAACUACGGUAAAAAAGGCUCAACAGAGUACGAACUUUCCACAAUGGUUCACAGUCUAAUCAGGAAGUCAGCACACAAGAUCGAGCGUCUUCUGGUAUUCAUCACUCUGGGUUUCAUUGCGAAGGCCUAUUACUGUUAAAAAUAAUAAUAUGUAAUAAAAAAAUAAAUAAAAUUUAAUACUGUCUGUUUAACCAUUC
RNAcentral lists this long non-coding RNA (716 nucleotides) under Aedes aegypti (yellow fever mosquito). RNAcentral describes it as "lncRNA AAEL028187". The record is from RNAcentral. Lineage: Eukaryota; Metazoa; Arthropoda; Insecta; Diptera; Culicidae.